AACGAACGCUGGCGGCAUGCCUAACACAUGCAAGUCGAACGAGACCUUCGGGUGUAGUGGCGCACGGGUGCGUAACGCGUCGGAACCUGCCCUUAGGUUCGGAAUAACUCCCCGACAGGGGUGCUAAUACCGGAUAAUUUCUUCUGACCAAAGAUUUAUCGCCUUUGGAUGGGCCCGCGUUGCAUUAGCUAGUUGGUAGGGUAAAAGCCUACCACGGCGACGAUCCAUAGCUGGUCUGAGAGGAUGAUCAGCCACACUGGGACUGAGACACGGCCCAGACUCCUACGGGAGGCAGCAGUGGGGAAUAUUGGAAAAUGGGCGAAAGCCUGAUCCAGCAAUGCCGCGUGAGUGAUGAAGGCCUUAGGGUUGUAAAGCUCUUUUACCCGGGAUGAUAAUGACAGUACCGGGAGAAUAAGCUCCGGCUAACUCCGUG
RNAcentral lists this ribosomal RNA (433 nucleotides) under uncultured bacterium. RNAcentral describes it as "partial 16S ribosomal RNA". It matches the Rfam family "Bacterial small subunit ribosomal RNA", at positions 29 to 507 of the family's 1533-position model. The record is from RNAcentral.